This 410-nucleotide ribosomal RNA is filed under the name uncultured bacterium. Its description in RNAcentral is "bacterial SSU rRNA". It matches the Rfam family "Bacterial small subunit ribosomal RNA", at positions 505 to 916 of the family's 1533-position model. The record is from RNAcentral.
GUGUCAGCCGCCGCGGUAAUACGUAGGGGGCUAGCGUUAUCCGGAAUUACUGGGCGUAAAGGGUGCGUAGGUGGUUUUUUAAGUCAGAAGUGAAAGGCUACGGCUCAACCGUAGUAAGCUUUUGAAACUAGAGAACUUGAGUGCAGGAGAGGAGAGUAGAAUUCCUAGUGUAGCGGUGAAAUGCGUAGAUAUUAGGAGGAAUACCAGUAGCGAAGGCGGCUCUCUGGACUGUAACUGACACUGAGGCACGAAAGCGUGGGGAGCAAACAGGAUUAGAUACCCUGGUAGUCCACGCCGUAAACGAUGAGUACUAGGUGUCGGGGGUUACCCCCCUCGGUGCCGCAGCUAACGCAUUAAGUACUCCGCCUGGGAAGUACGCUCGCAAGAGUGAAACUCAAAUAAAUUGACGG